GAUCAUUACCGAGUGCGGGCCCCCUCGCGGGGCCCAACCUCCCACCCGUGUCUACCGUACCAUGUUGCUUCGGCGGGCCCGCCGCAAGGCCGCCGGGGGGGCACCCGCCCCCCGGGCCCGCGCCCGCCGGAGACCUCAACACGAACACUGUCUGAAUUAGUGGCGUCUGAGUCUACGUACAAAUAAGUUAAAACUUUCAACAAUGGAUCUCUUGGUUCCGGCAUCGAUGAAGAACGCAGCGAAAUGCGAUAAGUAAUGUGAAUUGCAGAAUUCAGUGAAUCAUCGAGUCUUUGAACGCACAUUGCGCCCCCUGGUAUUCCGGGGGGCAUGCCUGUCCGAGCGUCAUUGCUGCCCUCCAGCCCGGCUGGUGUGUUGGGCCGCCGUCCCCCCCGGGGGACGGGCCCGAAAGGCAGUGGCGGCGCCGCGUCCGGUCCCCGAGCGUAUGGGGCUCUGUCACCCGCUCCGUGGGCACCGGCCGGCUGCCGGCCUCGACCAUCUUCCUUUUUUUUCCAAGGUUGACCUCGGAUCAGGUAGGGAUACCCGCUGAACUUAAGCAUAUCAAUAA
Molecule: unclassified non-coding RNA, 565 nt
Filed under: Aspergillus arenarioides
Lineage: Eukaryota; Fungi; Ascomycota; Eurotiomycetes; Eurotiales; Aspergillaceae
Description: sequence contains 18S rRNA gene, ITS1, 5.8S rRNA gene, ITS2, 28S rRNA gene
Rfam family: 5.8S ribosomal RNA (bases 192-345)
Source: RNAcentral